ACUCUCAUUGUAGAUGAAAAGGGGCAGUGUUAGUCAGUGUCCAGAAUUGCUCAAUGUGGCUAAACUGAAACACAGGUCAUGCUUCCAUAACACAAAAGGCAUCGUAGUGGUGACAGUGAAACCUGUAACAUUG
Molecule: small nucleolar RNA, 133 nt
Organism: Jaculus jaculus (lesser Egyptian jerboa)
Lineage: Eukaryota; Metazoa; Chordata; Mammalia; Rodentia; Dipodidae
Product: small nucleolar RNA SNORA1
Exons: 1
Source: RefSeq, a predicted model, not a curated record